GAUGAACGCUAGCGGCAGGCCUAAUACAUGCAAGACGAACGGUAAGUUGAGUAGCAAUACUUAGCCAAGAGUGUCGUACGGGUGCGUAACACGUAUGCAACCUACCCUAUACAGGAGGAUAGCCUAGGGAAACCUGGAUUAACCCUUCAUAGUAUUAUUGGAUGGCAUCAUUUGAUAAUUAAAACUGAGGUGGUAUAGGAUGGGCAUGCGUCUGAUUAGUUAGUUGGCGGGGUAAUGGCCCACCAAGACGAUGAUCAGUAGGGGUUCUGAGAGGAAGAUCCCCCACACUGGCACUGAGAUACGGGCCAGACUCCUACGGGAGGCAGCAGUAGGGAAUAUUGGUCAAUGGAGGCAACUCUGAACCAGCCAUGCCGCGUGUAGGAAGAAGGCGUUCUGCGUUGUAAACUACUUUUGAUUGGGAACAAAUGACUCUUGCGAGAGUAGCUGAGUGUACCAAUAGAAUAAGCCACGGCUAACUACGUGCCAGCAGCCGACGG
This 497-nucleotide ribosomal RNA is filed under the name uncultured bacterium. RNAcentral's name for it is "bacterial SSU rRNA". It matches the Rfam family "Bacterial small subunit ribosomal RNA", at positions 28 to 520 of the family's 1533-position model. The record is from RNAcentral.